CAAUAGCGUAUAUUAAAGUUGUUGCAGUUAAAAAGCUCGUAGUUGGAUUUGUGGCGUACGGUGUGUUCCGGGCACUUGUUGUCUGAGUAACCUGCUGUUGCCAUCCUUGGGUGGAACCUGUGUGGCAUUAGGUUGUCGUGCAGGGGAUGCCCAUCAUUUACUGUGAAAAAAUUAGAGUGUUCAAAGCAGGCUUAUGCCGUUGAAUAUAUUAGCAUGGAAUAAUGAGAUAGGACUUUUUUGCUAUUUUGUUGGUUUGGGCAAAGAGGUAAUGAUUAAUAGGGACAGUUGGGGGUAUUCGUAUUCCAUUGUCAGAGGUGAAAUUCUUGGAUUUUUGGAAGACGAACUACUGCGAAAGCAUUUACCAAGGAUGUUUUCAUUAA
Molecule: ribosomal RNA, 380 nt
Filed under: uncultured eukaryote
Lineage: Eukaryota
Description: partial 18S ribosomal RNA
Rfam family: Eukaryotic small subunit ribosomal RNA
Source: RNAcentral